UGGGGAAUUUUGGACAAUGGGGGCAACCCUGAUCCAGCAAUGCCGCGUGUGUGAAGAAGGCCUUCGGGUUGUAAAGCACUUUUGUCCGGGAAGAAAUCCCCUGCCCUAAUACGGCGGGGGAUGACGGUACCGGAAGAAUAAGCACCGGCUAACUACGUGCCAGCAGCCGCGGUAAUACGUAGGGUGCGAGCGUUAAUCGGAAUUACUGGGCGUAAAGCGUGCGCAGGCGGUGAUGUAAGACCGAUGUGAAAUCCCGGGCUCAACCUGGGAACUGCAUUGGUGACUGCAUUGCUCGAGUAUGGCANAGGGGGGUGGAAUUCCACGUGUAGCAGUGAAAUGCGUAGAGAUGUGGAGGAACACCGAUGGCGAAGGCAGCCCCCGUGGGCCAAUACUGACGCUCAUGCACGAAAGCGUGGGGAGCAAACAGGAUUAGAUACCCUGGUAGUCCACGCCCUAAACGAUGUCAACUGGUUGUCGGGCCUUCAUUGGCUUGGUAACGUAGCUAACGCGUGAAGUUGACCGCCU
RNAcentral lists this ribosomal RNA (525 nucleotides) under uncultured bacterium. RNAcentral's name for it is "partial 16S ribosomal RNA". It matches the Rfam family "Bacterial small subunit ribosomal RNA", at positions 355 to 874 of the family's 1533-position model. The record is from RNAcentral.